RNAcentral lists this ribosomal RNA (220 nucleotides) under uncultured bacterium. Its description in RNAcentral is "partial 16S ribosomal RNA". It matches the Rfam family "Bacterial small subunit ribosomal RNA", at positions 794 to 1012 of the family's 1533-position model. The record is from RNAcentral.
UCCUGGCCGUAAACGAUGAACACUAGGUGUCGGGGGAAUCGACCCCCUCGGUGUCGUAGCCAACGCGUUAAGUGUUCCGCCUGGGGAGUACGCACGCAAGUGUGAAACUCAAAGGAAUUGACGGGGGCCCGCACAAGCGGUGGAGUAUGUGGUUUAAUUCGAUGCAACGCGAAGAACCUUACCAGGGUUUGACAUCCUGCGAAUCUCUUGGAAACGAGAG